This 232-nucleotide long non-coding RNA is filed under the name Solanum tuberosum (potato). RNAcentral describes it as "long non-coding RNA (STUB_LNC000022)". Lineage: Eukaryota; Viridiplantae; Streptophyta; Magnoliopsida; Solanales; Solanaceae. The record is from RNAcentral.
AUCUUCAUAUUGUACAUUUUCUACUGAUGACCUUAUCUCAGAUUAUUUGCAGUAUUCAUCAUUUACAGGAUUGGAACUACAUUUGACCUGAUUCCUGGCUCAACUGGAUAUGUAGGCGCCACGAUGGGUCGGUCAUAUACCUAUUGUGAUUUUCUUUUCACCUUGUAAUAAAAACUGGGACAAAUUUUUUGAGAAUAUCUCAAAAAUUCAGAAUAAAGGUGCUAUCUCCAGC